UAUAGUUUCAGUUUAGGUAGAUGUCACUUUUGGUUUGUUUCUUCUUGUUCGUUUCUUCUGUAGGUUGAUUCUGUUUCUUCUUGGGGUGUGGAUGAGUAAAAUGACCCCAGGGAAGUGGCCAAAGGCCUCUGGAAGACUUAAUCAGGCCCUGGACAUGGGUCCAGUUAUCUCCACUCUGAUGAUGGAAUGUAUCGCCAAUGACUAUUAGGAGCCAAUCUCACUUUCCAGCUCAGUCUGUUGUGAUAACAGUCAAGAACAAAAAGGAUUCUUAGAUGGUGGUAAUCCUUUCAUAUUUAUUUCUGCCCUUCAUGUAUAUAAACUAAGAAAAUCAAGUCAAAAUCUUAUGAACUGCUAA
Argiope bruennichi is the source of this 355-nucleotide long non-coding RNA. RefSeq lists it as uncharacterized. The transcript is spliced from 2 exons. The record is from RefSeq and is a predicted model, not a curated record. Lineage: Eukaryota; Metazoa; Arthropoda; Arachnida; Araneae; Araneidae.